This 1057-nucleotide ribosomal RNA is filed under the name Lentilactobacillus buchneri. Its description in RNAcentral is "bacterial SSU rRNA". It matches the Rfam family "Bacterial small subunit ribosomal RNA", at positions 55 to 1068 of the family's 1533-position model. The record is from RNAcentral. Lineage: Bacteria; Bacillati; Bacillota; Bacilli; Lactobacillales; Lactobacillaceae.
AUGCAGUCGAACGCGUCUCCGUUGAUGAUUUUAGGUGCUUGCACUUGAAAGAUUUAACAUUGAGACGAGUGGCGAACUGGUGAGUAACACGUGGGUAACCUGCCCUUGAAGUAGGGGAUAACACUUGGAAACAGGUGCUAAUACCGUAUAACAACCAAAACCACCUGGUUUUGGUUUAAAAGACGGCUUCGGCUGUCACUUUAGGAUGGACCCGCGGCGUAUUAGCUUGUUGGUAAGGUAACGGCCUACCAAGGCGAUGAUACGUAGCCGACCUGAGAGGGUAAUCGGCCACAUUGGGACUGAGACACGGCCCAAACUCCUACGGGAGGCAGCAGUAGGGAAUCUUCCACAAUGGACGAAAGUCUGAUGGAGCAACGCCGCGUGAGUGAUGAAGGGUUUCGGCUCGUAAAACUCUGUUGUUGGAGAAGAACAGGUGUCAGAGUAACUGUUGACAUCUUGACGGUAUCCAACCAGAAAGCCACGGCUAACUACGUGCCAGCAGCCGCGGUAAUACGUAGGUGGCAAGCGUUGUCCGGAUUUAUUGGGCGUAAAGCGAGCGCAGGCGGUUUUUUAGGUCUGAUGUGAAAGCCUUCGGCUUAACCGGAGAAGUGCAUCGGAAACCGGGAGACUUGAGUGCAGAAGAGGACAGUGGAACUCCAUGUGUAGCGGUGAAAUGCGUAGAUAUAUGGAAGAACACCAGUGGCGAAGGCGGCUGUCUGGUCUGUAACUGACGCUGAGGCUCGAAAGCAUGGGUAGCGAACAGGAUUAGAUACCCUGGUAGUCCAUGCCGUAAACGAUGAGUGCUAAGUGUUGGAGGGUUUCCGCCCUUCAGUGCUGCAGCUAACGCAUUAAGCACUCCGCCUGGGGAGUACGACCGCAAGGUUGAAACUCAAAGGAAUUGACGGGGGCCCGCACAAGCGGUGGAGCAUGUGGUUUAAUUCGAUGCUACCCGAAGAACCUUACCAGGUCUUGACAUCUUCUGCCAACCUAAGAAAUUAGGCGUUCCCUUCGGGGACAAAAUGACAGGUGGUGCAUGGUUGUCCUCACCUCCUGUCCU